RNAcentral lists this ribosomal RNA (498 nucleotides) under uncultured bacterium. RNAcentral describes it as "bacterial SSU rRNA". It matches the Rfam family "Bacterial small subunit ribosomal RNA", at positions 28 to 517 of the family's 1533-position model. The record is from RNAcentral.
GAUGAACGCUAGCGAUAGGCCUAACACAUGCAAGUCGAGGGGCAUCACAUGAAGUAGCAAUACGGAUGGUGGCGACCGGCGCACGGGUGAGUAACACGUAUGCAACCUGCCUUCAACAAGGGGAUAACCCGUUGAAAGACGGACUAAUACCCUAUAACACAGGGGUCCCGCAUGGGGAAUAUUUGUUAAAGGACAACCGGUUGAAGAUGGGCAUGCGUUCCAUUAGCUAGUUGGCGGGGUAACGGCCCACCAAGGCAACGAUGGAUAGGGGAACUGAGAGGUUUAUCCCCCACACUGGUACUGAGACACGGACCAGACUCCUACGGGAGGCAGCAGUGGGGAAUUUUGGACAAUGGGGGCAACCCUGAUCCAGCCAUGCCGCGUGAGUGAAGAAGGCCUCGGUGUAAGCUCUUCGUACGGAAGAAUACGCCGCCUCUACAUAGCGGUGGAUGACGGUACCGUAAGAAGAAGCACCGGCUAACUACGUGCCAGCAGCCG